Molecule: long non-coding RNA, 377 nt
Filed under: Gossypium barbadense (sea-island cotton)
Lineage: Eukaryota; Viridiplantae; Streptophyta; Magnoliopsida; Malvales; Malvaceae
Description: long non-coding RNA (GBAR_LNC008484)
Source: RNAcentral
UAAAGCAGAAACCAGAGCAGGCUCCUCCUGGAGGCGCCUGUUGCUCUUAAUUUGCAGCAAGAUCUCGGCCCCGAUAUGAAAGCAUGACUUGCAUAUCCAUAGAAAGCUCAGGCAGCCAUGUUGUUGCCUCUAAGUUUUCCCACCUUGAAACAGAUUGUGAACAGUUUGCAAAACCUGUAUAUUCCUCUAAGUUUUCCCACCUUGAAACAGAUUGUGAACAGUUUGCAAAACCUGUAUAUGAUAACUUCGUUCAAUUUUCUAUAUACUGCUGCAAUUUCCAAUUUAGCUGUCUAUAGUUAAUUUUAUCAUACUCGAAUUAACUAACGUAAAUUUGUUUGAUUUUGAUUUCGAUUUUGCGUUUGCUUUUUCUUGAUUAA